Molecule: ribosomal RNA, 263 nt
Filed under: uncultured bacterium
Lineage: Bacteria
Description: partial 16S ribosomal RNA
Rfam family: Bacterial small subunit ribosomal RNA
Source: RNAcentral
UACGUAGGGGGCGAGCGUUGUCCGGAAUGAUUGGGCGUAAAGGGCGCGCAGGCGGCCUGUCAAGUCAGUAGUGGAAGUCCAUUUUUCAAGGAUGGAAGUGCUAUAGAAACUGAUGGGCUUGAGUGCAGGAGAGGUUAUCGGAAUUCCCGGUGUAGCGGUGAAAUGCGUAGAGAUCGGGAGGAACACCAGUGGCGAAGGCGGGUAACUGGACUGCAACUGACGCUGAGGCGCGAAAGUGUGGGGAGCAAACAGGAUUAGAUACC